UACGUAGGGUCCAAGCGUUAUCCGGAAUCACUGGGCGUAAAGCGUGCGUAGGUGGAUGUUUAAGUGUGAUGUUAAAUCGUGUGGCUCAACCAUAUCGAUGCAUCGCAUACUGGACGUCUAGAGGACAGCAGAGGCAAGUGGAAUUUGUAGUGUAGCAGUGAAAUGCGUAGAUAUUACAAGGAACACCAAUGGCGAAGGCAGCUUGCUGGGCUACUCCUGACACUGAGGUACGAAAGCGUGGGGAGCGAACAGG
RNAcentral lists this ribosomal RNA (253 nucleotides) under uncultured bacterium. RNAcentral's name for it is "partial 16S ribosomal RNA". It matches the Rfam family "Bacterial small subunit ribosomal RNA", at positions 524 to 776 of the family's 1533-position model. The record is from RNAcentral.